AAUUCUGUCUGGACACAAAGGAAAAAUCGGAAUUGGCAGAUACUCUCUCGGUUACUCCCUGGUUGCAGUUAAUGAGCAGCCUGUUCGCCUGCAGCCUUUAGACAGGGAACAAGGGGCACAGCUUUUCCCACUUUAUUGGUUACUGACUGGGAAAGAAGGAUUCCACUAGCACUGCUUGGCUAUCAAAGCUGGGCAAUGUGAUCCUCUAAGCCACAUGUUUAGGAAUUGACAAACAAUUGUGGAGGUUGGCAAUUCCAAAAUCUGAGGAGUAGGUAAACUGGAAGACUAGAGACCCUGGGAAGAGUUGAUGUUACAGCUUGAAUCUGAAGGCAGUCUGCUGGAAGAAUCCCCUCUUUCUUGUAGAAGCCCCUUGACUGGGCAAACUUCAAACAAGUGACUGAGCUCCCUUAGCUGCCACUGAUUGGACCAGGAUGGACAACAAAUGUAGGAGGAGUUCAUCUGGAUCUAGCCUGAGCCAGUCAGAUAUCCCCUUUGAAUCCAUGCCUAUAGAAAUACAAAAAAAUGGAAGCCAGAGGAUGAUGGAUCCUUGAAGUAAUAAGUCAGCUCUGUGGAAGUUUGAGUGACUCAUUGCAGAGAGGAAUUGAUGAAGUCAACAGCUGCUGGAAAAACUUCUUUUUCCUUAAUAGCUGUAUCAACAUGUGGUUGCUAUUAUUCAAGUAAGAAAAAUAUGUAUAUCAAACAUCCAUGGUAGUCCUUGCUAAAAUUUUCAUUAGAGAGACUCAUGUUUUGACAUUAAAAAAAGUUCAAAUGGGUACCUUAGAGGAUGUUUUGUUGGAGAACAAAAUCAUGGAGAAAUAAAGUCUAAAAAGAAAAAUAAAUGGCAAGCAUGUUGUUAAUAAUGCUGUAAU
Molecule: long non-coding RNA, 869 nt
Filed under: Homo sapiens (human)
Lineage: Eukaryota; Metazoa; Chordata; Mammalia; Primates; Hominidae
Description: HSALNT0342929
Source: RNAcentral